GGAGGUUGCGGUGAGCCGAGAUCGCGCCAUUGCACUCCAGCCUGGGUAACAAGAGCGAAACCCCGUCUCCAAAAAAAAAAAAAAAUCACCAGGGUUGAUUCACUGAUCUGGCUGGCUAGGCAGUGUCCCAUUCCUCCCUCACAGCUCCAUGUGCGUCCCUCCUGACGCUGUGCUCGGUCAGAGAAAACCACCAUCCCUGAUAGUGGAGGACUGGUCUUCGGUCAAGGGUAUACGAGUAGCUGCACCCCCCUUCUAGAAACCUCCAUAACAAGCUCUCAAAUCCACCUAUUUUUUGAAGUCCCUAAUCUUAUCACUCUCCACCUUUUUUUUUUUUUUUUUUUAGAUGGAG
Molecule: small RNA, 349 nt
Filed under: Aotus nancymaae (Ma's night monkey)
Lineage: Eukaryota; Metazoa; Chordata; Mammalia; Primates; Aotidae
Description: 7SK RNA (ENSANAG00000008109.1)
Rfam family: 7SK RNA
About the family: 7SK was discovered as an abundant small nuclear RNA in the mid-70s but a possible function has only recently been suggested. Two independent studies have found that 7SK RNA binds the CDK9/cyclin T complex (known as elongation factor P-TEFb). P-TEFb activates transcription by phosphorylating the C-terminal domain of RNA polymerase II.
Source: Rfam by way of RNAcentral